Molecule: ribosomal RNA, 969 nt
Filed under: Cortinarius saniosus
Lineage: Eukaryota; Fungi; Basidiomycota; Agaricomycetes; Agaricales; Cortinariaceae
Description: eukaryotic LSU rRNA
Rfam family: Eukaryotic large subunit ribosomal RNA (bases 588-969)
Source: RNAcentral
UGGUCUUUAGAGGAAGUAAAAGUCGUAACAGGUUUCCGUAGGUGAACCUGCGGAAGGAUCAUUAUUGAAAUUAACCUGAUGGGUUGUUGCUGGCUCUCUAGGGAGCAUGUGCACGCCUUGUCAUCUUUAUAUCUCCACCUGUGCACCUUUUGUAGACCUUUCGGGGUCUAUGUUGCUUCAUUUUUCCACAAUGUAUGUUAAUAGAAUGUUGUGCCCUGUAUAAUAUAUACAACUUUCAGCAACGGAUCUCUUGGCUCUCGCAUCGAUGAAGAACGCAGCGAAAUGCGAUAAGUAAUGUGAAUUGCAGAAUUCAGUGAAUCAUCGAAUCUUUGAACGCACCUUGCGCUCCUUGGUAUUCCGAGGAGCAUGCCUGUUUGAGUGUCAUUAAUAUACAUAUAUCAAGCCUUCUCUUGUAGAAGGGUUUGGAUGUGGGGGUUUGCUGGCCUCUUAAUCUUAAGAGUUCAGCUCUCCUGAAAUGCAUUAGCAGAACAACCUUAUGUUCAUUGGUGUGAUAACUAUCUACGCUAUUGAAUGUUGAGGGGCAAGUUCAGCUUUCUAACGGUCCUUGGACAAACUCAUCAUUAAUGUGACCUCAAAUCAGGUAGGACUACCCGCUGAACUUAAGCAUAUCAAUAAGCGGAGGAAAAGAAACUAACAAGGAUUCCCCUAGUAACUGCGAGUGAAGCGGGAAAAGCUCAAAUUUAAAAUCUGGCGGUUUUUUUGGCCGUCCGAGUUGUAAUCUAGAGAAGUGUUAUCCGCGCUGGACCGUGUACAAGUCUCCUGGAAUGGAGCAUCAUAGAGGGUGAGAAUCCCGUCUUUGACAUGGACUGCCAGGGCUUUGUGAUGCGCUCUCAAAGAGUCGAGUUGUUUGGGAAUGCAGCUCAAAAUGGGUGGUAAAUUCCAUCUAAAGCUAAAAUUGGCGAGAGACCGAUAGCGAACAAGUACCGUAAGGGAAAGAUGAAAAGAACC